RNAcentral lists this ribosomal RNA (460 nucleotides) under uncultured bacterium. RNAcentral's name for it is "partial 16S ribosomal RNA". It matches the Rfam family "Bacterial small subunit ribosomal RNA", at positions 338 to 795 of the family's 1533-position model. The record is from RNAcentral.
CCUACGGGUGGCAGCAGUGAGGAAUAUUGGUCAAUGGCCGGAAGGCUGAACCAGCCAUGCCGCGUGAAGGUCAGUGCCCUUUGGGCGUUAAACUUCUUUUGUGCGGGAGCAAUAAUGGUCACGUGUGGCCAGACGAGAGUACCGUACGAAUAAGCAUCGGCUAACUCCGUGCCAGCAGCCGCGGGAAUACGGGGGAUGCAAGCGUUAUCCGGAUUUAUUGGGGUUAAGGGGUGCGUAGGCUGUGAGUUAAGUCGUCGGUGAAAUGCCCCGGCUCAACGGGGUGAAGUGCCAUUGAUACUGCCUUGCUGGAAUGCGGAUGCGGUGGGAGGAAUGUGUGGUGUAGCGGUGAAAUGCAUAGAUAUCACACAGAACACCGAUUGCGAAGGCAUCUCACGAAUCCGCGAUUGACGCUGAUGCACGAAAGCGUGGGUAUCAAACAGGAUUAGAUACCCGAGUAGUC